This is a small nucleolar RNA of Suncus etruscus (white-toothed pygmy shrew), 132 nucleotides long. RefSeq annotates it as small nucleolar RNA SNORA51. The transcript has a single exon. The record is from RefSeq and is a predicted model, not a curated record. Lineage: Eukaryota; Metazoa; Chordata; Mammalia; Eulipotyphla; Soricidae.
GGCCUCCCAGUUCUUACCACAGGCUGUGUUCUUUACACUGACUGUAUAGAAAGAAGAGGUAUAAUAAAUGCACCCCAUAUACACCUCAAUCCAGGCAUUUGCCUAGUCCGUAUUGUGAAUUGGGGAACAAAA